Athene cunicularia (burrowing owl) is the source of this 2099-nucleotide long non-coding RNA. RefSeq lists it as uncharacterized. The record is from RefSeq and is a predicted model, not a curated record. NCBI's taxonomy places the organism in Eukaryota, Metazoa, Chordata, Aves, Strigiformes, Strigidae. The transcript is spliced from 4 exons.
CCUGUCAGUGGACACAAACCAAUAUUUUUUAUUACACAGAGGAUUCAUCUCAUGUUACCAUAGGUUCGAAUCACACUUGAGAGCUCACAUCUACCUGUUUGAACACAUCCUAACUGGAAAUGAUUUACUACUAAAGAAAAGGAUCACUCAUUUUUUGUUGUGCCCCCACCUUGUUUGCAAGUUAAUGCACAAGGCAGACCUUAGGCAGCCUUAAUUUAGUUUGCUGUCUUAGCUCUUGAAUCCCUCAUCUGUACACUGCCAUUCAGCACAGCAGGGGUGUCAGGUUUCCAGACCAGAACAACUCCAGUCCUUCUAAUUAUUGAAUGAACUUUGUCUAUUGCUUUCACUGUGGUAAUGGAGCCCACAGGGAGCAAUGAUCAGGUCUGAGGUAUAAUGAAGGUCACUCUCAUCAAGAUACUUAUUUCUUUAGAUUAAUAAGAAGGCAGAAAAACACCUAUUCUGAGCUGUAAAAACACUUUGUUGUUGUAUAAGUUACAACCAGCAGAUUAAACUGUAUCACAUGAAGAAACAGUAAGAACUUCUCAAAUGGAAAAUGAAGAAAAAUGCAUCUUCUGCACUGCACGUUACUCAUUAGACUCCCCAAAGUCUCAUUUUACCACUAGUAUAUCCCUGCUGAGAUGAUUGGCAUGCAACUAGUGGCGUGGGAUAGCUGCUUAGAGUUUCCUAGGUUUCCCAGGUACAAGCAUAGAUAAGCAGCCACACAAGUUAGAAAGACAAACACAGGAUAAAGAGAAAAUCUUUGGGAAUCACAUUUGCUCUAGCUUAGUCAGGCGGGGUAGCUAAAUCACCUACAUAAAACAUGGCUGCAUUUGCUGUCUAGACAAAGUUAAGAUAGCUGAAAAGGUAGUUUCUUUCUUAAGGAAGAGAUGUGUUUGUGGAAGAUACUGUUGAGAUAACCCUGGUGGAUGAAGUCUCCCCUUUACCCACAGAGUGGAGAGCACACAUGGAGCAAGGGGCAAUCCAGAGACUCCUGUGCUACGGGGGACCUCUACAGUCAUAAACUCCAAGCUAUGGGCUGUUAAUCACAAAACCUAACAGGAAUAUUGGGGUAGGGAAAGAGAUUGGGUUUUAAAUACGGGGGGAAAAUUCACAGAGAAUGUUACAUUUCGAAUAGCUAAGACUAAGAAGCAGCUUCGUGUUAAGGAUACAUUCAACUUUAACCUUCAAAUGCCUUCAAAAAACAGCAGGUCACACUGCCAGUUAGUGCUGCAAAUCUAAGCACCAUUUGUGGGACUAUUGCAGCUGAUACCAAGGUGACUUUUGUUUUAAGUCAAUAUGCUUUAACAAACUCCUCUAAUGCAAACAAACAAACAAGAAAGCCAACCAACCACUAAUAAUCUCUGCAAGUAAAAUGUCAUUCCAAGAAAGUCAAAAUGGUCUUUGUGAAUGAAGUUUUCUUUAAUAAUAUUAAAGACAUAACAUGCCUCUAAGGUUGGAUAUGAAUGUGGCACAUGGCCAUAAAAUUGAUUCUGUUUUCUUUUGUUUUGGUUCUUCGGGGCUCUAUAUAAUUAUUCUUUCCUCUUACCCAGAAUGAACGAGGACAAGGAAGUCCUUUGUACUUUCUAAUUAAUUGUAAAAUACACAAGUAAAACCUGGCACAACCUUUCAAUUCUUGGAGGCUCAUAAAUAAACUACAACUUCCCCACUGAAGGAUUCACAGUAGCACUGAAGAAUCUUUGAAGGACCAGGCUUUCUUCCAGAGAGGGUAUCUCAUGAUGCAACUAGAUGGAGUCUGCUCACACCAGAGACCAAGGGGCACAGUCUUCCCAAAUCCUUAAUAUACAGAGACGUGCUCAACUGGCUGCUGGAAACCUGCUCUAAUGGCAGGACCCCAAUAUCUGGGAACUUCUGUGUUCUUCCAAAGUGGUAUGAAGAAGGUGUAACAGACACCACGAUACUCUUCCAGUGUGUUCAGGCAUAUUGCAGGCAAAGGUACACAGCUGAAUUUCCAUCAGAGUGAAUGGCACUGUCCUCCUGGCUAACUUCUAAAUACGGAAGAAGCAUAAUCUUGAUCUCCCAUGGUUUGUUCUGGAUUUGCAUUUAUAUGUAGGGACCACCACUGCCAUGCUGUAUCUUGU